Molecule: ribosomal RNA, 800 nt
Filed under: Pseudooceanicola sp.
Lineage: Bacteria; Pseudomonadati; Pseudomonadota; Alphaproteobacteria; Rhodobacterales; Paracoccaceae
Description: bacterial SSU rRNA
Rfam family: Bacterial small subunit ribosomal RNA
Source: RNAcentral
UCGAGCGCACCUUCGGGUGAGCGGCGGACGGGUGAGUAACGCGUGGGAACGUACCCAGAUCUGCGGAAUAGCCACUGGAAACGGUGAGUAAUACCGCAUACGCCCUUCGGGGGAAAGAUUUAUCGGAUUUGGAUCGGCCCGCGUUAGAUUAGAUAGUUGGUGGGGUAAUGGCCUACCAAGUCUACGAUCUAUAGCUGGUUUUAGAGGAUGAUCAGCCACACUGGGACUGAGACACGGCCCAGACUCCUACGGGAGGCAGCAGUGGGGAAUCUUAGACAAUGGGCGCAAGCCUGAUCUAGCCAUGCCGCGUGAGUGAUGAAGGCCUUAGGGUCGUAAAGCUCUUUCGCCAGGGAUGAUAAUGACAGUACCUGGUAAAGAAACCCCGGCUAACUCCGUGCCAGCAGCCGCGGUAAUACGGAGGGGGUUAGCGUUGUUCGGAAUUACUGGGCGUAAAGCGCGCGUAGGCGGACUAUUAAGUCAGGGGUGAAAUCCCGGGGCUCAACCCCGGAACUGCCCUUGAUACUGGUAGUCUUGAGUUCGAGAGAGGUGAGUGGAACUCCGAGUGUAGAGGUGAAAUUCGUAGAUAUUCGGAAGAACACCAGUGGCGAAGGCGGCUCACUGGCUCGAUACUGACGCUGAGGUGCGAAAGUGUGGGGAGCAAACAGGAUUAGAUACCCUGGUAGUCCACACCGUAAACGAUGAAUGCCAGUCGUCGGGUAGCAUGCUAUUCGGUGACACACCUAACGGAUUAAGCAUUCCGCCUGGGGAGUACGGUCGCAAGAUUAAAACUCAAAGGAAUU